UGUGUGUGUGUGUUGCUGAGGCGCGAGCCCUGCCCCCCACACGUUGCUAGGCAACGCCCGCUCUGCUGCUGAGCCACAGCCCCAGCCCCAGCCCUGAAGUUUGACAAAACUAAUUCUGCACCGAAAGCCCGAGCCCCUCUCACUGGUCCUGGCAGUCUAUUUAGUAAAAAGUUCCAGAUGCCCUAACACACAUGAACAAGAAGGCAUGACUGUAAAGAUGUAACAGACUGGCUAGACGGGAUAAGAUGGAUCUCGUGCACCUUCAAGUAUGAUGCCCUGACACAGAGAAUGGAGGAGCACAGAACACAUCCUAGUGUAUAUGAUGCGGUCCUGUUCUGCAGGGAGGAAAGUGUACUUUCCAUGUGACUGCAGGACGAAACACCUCGCAGCAAGCCAAGAAGACCUCUGGGCUUCAACAGGGCCAAUCAGAAAGAGGCCCAGCAGCUGGCACAGAGAAGGAGCCCACAGGCCACGGCACAGGGACUGAAGCACCACAGAACCUUGAGGCCCUGAGGCUACACCACUACAGGUUUACCAGUAAUGAAAAGACCGGAAGAGUCACAAUACGAGUCUCUCAGACACAGACACCACUCUAACCCAAGCAGAGAGGAGCCCACUUACUUAACUGGUGAGCCGGACAAAUGUCUAUGCUGCAGCUGCUGCAGGGGAUACCAGAGAAAAGUUUAAGAAAAGUGAUGUCUCUUAGCCAAAAAAUAAAGCUUGUGGCUAAAUUACAGCACAGGAAUUGUAUGUUUAUAUGAGUGUGAUGUUCCCCCCUCUAAAGUCUUCAGAAAUAUGGAAAUUCCUUUUUGUUGAAAUAAGGAAAUUCUUACUCCUAUGAUUCUGAGAGAAUGAAGGUUACGUCAUUUGAUAAAUUACGACUUGCUGGACACACACACAGUACGGGGUUGUGGGGUGUGGCUUGAUGGCAGAGCACUGGCCUAGCACCUGUGAGGAGGUCCUAGGCUUAAUCCUAGUAAUGGGAAAAAGAAAA
Molecule: non-coding RNA, 994 nt
Organism: Heterocephalus glaber (naked mole-rat)
Lineage: Eukaryota; Metazoa; Chordata; Mammalia; Rodentia; Bathyergidae
Source: RefSeq, a predicted model, not a curated record